Molecule: long non-coding RNA, 746 nt
Organism: Carya illinoinensis
Lineage: Eukaryota; Viridiplantae; Streptophyta; Magnoliopsida; Fagales; Juglandaceae
Exons: 4
Source: RefSeq, a predicted model, not a curated record
AAUUAUUUCAGAAGCUUUGCGAUUUUGGGUCUGGGGGAGAAGAAAAACUCUUACGAUUUUGGGUCUGGAAGAUAGAAGAGAUCGCCGCCGCCGCCGCCGUCGUCUUCGGGUCUGGAAGAGCUCUUUGUCGUCAUCUUCGUGUGGGCUCUUAUGGAGAAGGUGAAGAAAAAGGAAGAAUCCAUGGCAAUGUUUGGCCACAAAAUGCAAGGUUGUUAAGGAGAAGGUGAAGGAACCAAGCAAAUCCACAUAGAGGCCAGGCCAUACAGAAUGCAAGAGUUACUUGACGUCAGGGGUGUGCAAGUACGGAAGAGCUUGUAGAUACUAACACACAAGGAGCGAACCUCUGUUCUAGAGACCUGUCGUACGAAAUUCCAAUAAGCAACAUCCAAUUGUUUCUAGUAAUCAUGCAUCAAGCAUUAACAUUAGUCAUUAGCCUUUUUUUGGAUGGACAGCUGCUUUGGGUAAAAACUGCUCCAAACCUUUUUUUGGUUACCAAUUUCAGGAAGGGAUGGGACCUCCGAUUUCUCUUAUCACUACAAGCUUCGCAACGAGCUCGAUAGUUCGUGUAUUGGAACUGUGUAUUGUGUAUUGGAACCAAUGACUAUAUUAUAUUGGACAAUUAUUUGUAUUUUUGGAUGGAUGGCUUUUUAUUUGUUGUUAUUUUUGGAUGGUAUGAGACUUUUUAUAUGUGGAAAUAUGAUGUUGGUACUUGGUUCCAGGUGGUUCCAGGUGUUUUAUAUGUGAAA